UACGGGAUAAUAUAUUUGAGAGGCAUCUCUUGAAUAUCAAAGGUGAGCCAGUACAGGAUGGACCCGCGUCUGAUUAGCUAGUGGGUAAGGUAACGGCUUACCAAGGCGACGAUCAGUAGCCGACCUGGGAGGGUGAUCGGCCACAUUGGAACUGAGACACGGUCCAAACUCCUACGGGAGGCAGCAGUGGGGAAUAUUGCACAAUGGGCGAAAGCCUGAUGCAGCAACGCCGCGUGAGUGAUGAAGGCCUUCGGG
RNAcentral lists this ribosomal RNA (255 nucleotides) under Clostridioides difficile. RNAcentral describes it as "partial 16S ribosomal RNA". It matches the Rfam family "Bacterial small subunit ribosomal RNA", at positions 167 to 422 of the family's 1533-position model. The record is from RNAcentral. Lineage: Bacteria; Bacillati; Bacillota; Clostridia; Peptostreptococcales; Peptostreptococcaceae.